Oncorhynchus keta (chum salmon) is the source of this 2177-nucleotide long non-coding RNA. RefSeq lists it as uncharacterized. The record is from RefSeq and is a predicted model, not a curated record. The transcript is spliced from 4 exons. NCBI's taxonomy places the organism in Eukaryota, Metazoa, Chordata, Actinopteri, Salmoniformes, Salmonidae.
GUGUUUUCAGUCAGCGAAAUUGAAUCUUGCUCUGGUGGCUAUAGUGUUGAUAUGGGUUUGUGGAUGUUGUCCCUCUGUCUGCUCCAGGUGCCGGCUCAUGGCUGGGUCAUUGCUGACUGUGACUCCAGUAAGUGUCCCUUCUGCAACAAGAAGAUCAAGACCCUGGAAGGGAAGCACUGGAGAAGGAUGAAGAGGGAAGGAGGAAUUCCACGGAGGACACUAGCCUAGAGGACAUCACCCCAGACGGGCACAUUCUGCAGAUUUCUCCAAUUCCAGACACCCACCCUCUUCUGGUCUUUGUGAACCCAAAGAGUGGAGGGAAGCAGGGGGAGAGAGUGAUGACGAAGUUCCACUAUUUAUUGAACCCACGGCAGGUCAUCAACUUCUCCAACGGAGGACCUGGACCCCGGUAAAUACAAGUGCAGUUUGACCAUCUCGGGGUGGGAGGGAAGUGGACUGUACUAUUACAUAAACUAUCUGUUAUGUCCUUGUUACGACAGUAACUGUCUUAUGUCGAAGGGUUCAUGUAAGGUUCAUGUAAUGUGCUACCUUUUUUUAACCAAUUUCCAAUUUGGAGAUCUGUGUGACAUAUUUAGUUAAAUUAUAUCUUAAUUCUUAUUAACUGUUAUUUCCACUAUGAAUGUGUAUCAUUGUGUGCUCUUGCUUUGGCUUGCUCUUUGGGGUUUGGGCCGGGUGACUGUAAAAACACUUUGUGACAACUGCUGAUGUAAAUGGGGGGGUUGAGGAGAGCUCAUUGGUUCCUAUGGACCUCUGGCAUGUGCAGGGGAUUCAAAAGCAUAUGACAAUGUAUAGUAUUUUCAUGUGUUCUGUUCUCUACCACAGACCCGAGUGACAAGCGGAUUGAGGUGGUGGGGUUGUCGGGGCUAUCGAAAUGGUUCGGAUCUAUUCUGGGCUGCCUAUGUAGAUUGAUGGUGAGCCCUGCCUAUGUAGAUUGAUGGUGAGCCCUGCCUAUGUAGAUUGAUGGUGAGCCCGUCUAUGUAGAUUGAUGGUGAGCCCUGCCUAUGUAGAUUGAUGGUGAGCCCUGCCUAUGUAGAUUGAUGGUGAGCCCUGCCUAUGUAGAUUGAUGGUCAGCACUGCCUAUGUAGAUUGAUGGUGAGCACUGCCUAUGUAGAUUGAUGGUGAGCACUGCCUAUGUAGAUUGAUGGUGAGCCCUGCCUAUGUAGAUUGAUGGUGAGCCCUGCCUAUGUAGAUUGAUGGUGAGCCCUGCCUAUGUAGAUUGAUGGUGAGCCCUGCCUAUGUAGACUGAUGGUGAGCACUGCCUAUGUAGAUUGAUGGUGAGCACUGCCUAUGUAGAUUGAUGGUGAGCACUGCCUAUGUAGAUUGAUGGUGAGCCCUGCCUAUGUAGAUUGAUGGUGAGCCCUGCCUAUGUAGAUUGAUGGUGAGCCCUACCUAUGUAGAUUGAUGGUGAGCCCUACCAAUGUAGAUUAAUGGUGAGCACUGCCUAUGUAGAUUGAUGGUGAGCCCUACCAAUGUAGAUUAAUGGUGAGCCCUACCAAUGUAGAUUGAUGGUGAGCCCUACCUAUGUAGAUUAAUGGUGAGCCCUACCAAUGUAGAUUGAUGGUGAGCCCUACCAAUGUAGAUUAAUGGUGAGCACUGCCUAUGUAGAUUGAUGGUGAGCCCUACCUAUGUAGAUUGAUGGUGAGCCCUACCAAUGUAGAUUAAUGGUGAGCACUGCCUAUGUAGAUUGAUGGUGAGCCCUACCAAUGUAGAUUAAUGGUGAGCCCUACCAAUGUAGAUUAAUGGUGAGCCCUGCCUAUGUAGAUUGAUGGUGAGCCCUACCAAUGUAGAUUAAUGGUGAGCCCUACCAAUGUAGAUUAAUGGUGAGCCCUACCAAUGUAGAUUGAUGGUGAGCCCUGCCAAUGUAGAUUAAUGGUGAGCCCUGCCAAUGUAGAUUAAUGGUGAGCGCUGCCUAUGUAGAUUGAUGGUGAGCCCUACCAAUGUAGAUUAAUGGUGAGCCCUACCAAUGUAGAUUAAUGGUGAGCCCUGCCUAUGUAGAUUGAUGGUGAGCCCUACCAAUGUAGAUUAAUGGUGAGCCCUACCAAUGUAGAUUGAUGGUGAGCCCUACCAAUGUAGAUUAAUGGUGAGCCCUACCAAUGUAGAUUGAUGGUGAGCCCUACCAAUGUAGAUUGAUGGUGAGCCCUGCCAAUGUAGAUUAA